RNAcentral lists this ribosomal RNA (253 nucleotides) under uncultured bacterium. RNAcentral describes it as "partial 16S ribosomal RNA". It matches the Rfam family "Bacterial small subunit ribosomal RNA", at positions 524 to 776 of the family's 1533-position model. The record is from RNAcentral.
UACGGAGGAUCCAAGCGUUAUCCGGGUUUAUUGGGUUUAAAGGGUGCGUAGGCGGCCUGUUAAGUCAGGGGUGAAAGACGGCAGCUCAACUAUCGCAGUGCCCUUGAUACUGAUGGGCUUGAAUAAACUAGAGGUAGGCGGAAUGUGACAAGUAGCGGUGAAAUGCAUAGAUAUGUCACAGAACACCGAUUGCGAAGGCAGCUUACUAUGGUUUUAUUGACGCUGAGGCACGAAAGCGUGGGGAUCAAACAGG